CCUACGGGAGGCAGCAGUGGGGAAUAUUGGACAAUGGGGGCAACCCUGAUCCAGCCAUGCCGCGUGUGUGAAGAAGGCCCUCGGGUUGUAAAGCACUUUCAGUGAGGAAGAACGCCUGGUGGUUAAUACCCAUCAGGAAAGACAUCACUCACAGAAGAAGCACCGGCUAACUCCGUGCCAGCAGCCGCGGUAAUACGGAGGGUGCGAGCGUUAAUCGGAAUUACUGGGCGUAAAGCGCGCGUAGGUGGCUUGAUAAGCCGGUUGUGAAAGCCCCGGGCUCAACCUGGGAACGGCAUCCGGAACUGUCAAGCUAGAGUGCAGGAGAGGAAGGUAGAAUUCCCGGUGUAGCGGUGAAAUGCGUAGAGAUCAGGAGGAAUACCAGUGGCGAAGGCGGCCUUCUGGACUGACACUGACACUGAGGUGCGAAAGCGUGGGUAGCAAACAGGAUUAGAUACCCGGGUAGUC
Molecule: ribosomal RNA, 465 nt
Filed under: Vreelandella stevensii
Lineage: Bacteria; Pseudomonadati; Pseudomonadota; Gammaproteobacteria; Oceanospirillales; Halomonadaceae
Description: partial 16S ribosomal RNA
Rfam family: Bacterial small subunit ribosomal RNA
Source: RNAcentral